This 257-nucleotide ribosomal RNA is filed under the name uncultured bacterium. RNAcentral's name for it is "partial 16S ribosomal RNA". It matches the Rfam family "Bacterial small subunit ribosomal RNA", at positions 524 to 776 of the family's 1533-position model. The record is from RNAcentral.
UACAGAGACCUCAAGCGUUAUCCGGAAUCAUUGGGCGUAAAGCGUACCGAUAGGUGGUUUGGAAAGUCGGCUGUGAAAUUCCAGGGCUCAACCCUGGAACUGUCAGCUGAAACUUCUAAACUAGAGGGGCAAAGAGGAAGCUGGAACGAACGGUGUAGUAGUGAAAUGCGUUGAUAUCGUUCGGAACACCAAUAGCGAAGGCAGGCUUCUGGGUGCCACCUGACACUGCUAGGACGAAAGCGUGGGGAGCAAACAGG